Molecule: non-coding RNA, 45 nt
Organism: Schistosoma haematobium
Lineage: Eukaryota; Metazoa; Platyhelminthes; Trematoda; Strigeidida; Schistosomatidae
Source: Rfam
AUCUAGCUCACGAGUCUCAAAUAGGACGAAACGUGAGUCAUGGAU